Molecule: non-coding RNA, 29 nt
Filed under: Rattus norvegicus (Norway rat)
Lineage: Eukaryota; Metazoa; Chordata; Mammalia; Rodentia; Muridae
Source: RNAcentral
UACCACAUGAUGCACCUCCCCUGUCUGGC